Molecule: ribosomal RNA, 305 nt
Filed under: uncultured bacterium
Lineage: Bacteria
Description: bacterial SSU rRNA
Rfam family: Bacterial small subunit ribosomal RNA
Source: RNAcentral
UGCGACCUAGGGAGGCAGCAGUGGGGGAUAUUGCACAAUGGGGGAAACCCUGAUGCAGCGACGCCGCGUGAGUGAAGAAGUAUUUCGGUAUGUAAAGCUCUCUCAGCAGGGAAGAAAAAAGACGGUACCUGACUAAGAAGCCCCGGCUAACUACGUGCCAGCAGCCGCGGUAAUACGUAGGGGGCAAGCGUUAUCCGGAUUUACUGGGUGUAAAGGGAGCGUAGACGGCAAUACAAGUCGGAAGUGAAAUACCCGGGCUCAACCUGGGAGCUGCUUUGGAAACUGUAUGGCUGGAGUGCUGGAGG